AUGCGCGUCCCGCUGCACCGCUUCUUCCGCGAGGUGCUCGCCCACUUCGGCAUCGCGCCAGCGCAGCUCACGCCCAACGGGUGGCGCACCAUGGCGGGCUUCCUGGUGCUCUGCCGCUCCGCCGGCGUGCCGCCUUUGCUCGCGGUGUUCCGGCGUUUCUUUGUGAUGUCCAGCCUCUGCGAGGAGCACGAGAAAGGCUGGUACGUUUUCCGGCCCAGGCGGGACAGCUCCGGCUUGCGCUUGAGGGGUUUGCCGAAGCCGGAUGCCAACUCCAUCACGUGGAAACACGAGUUCUUCUUCCUCUCGUCGCCGGAGUCGUGGCCUUGCGCCGUGGAGUGGAGCGAGCGGUCCAACCGCUCCUCCAGCAACCCGGUACCGGUGCUCACCGUUGAGGAAAGCCAGUCGAUGCUGAAGCUGCUAAGUGCUCACGGUGGCGCCGCUGUUGAUCUCAGGAAACUGCUCCCUGCUACGUGCCCACGGCGGCGGCGGACCGCCGCCGCCGCCGCCGCCGCCUUCCUCAACUCGUAUGACUUCCUGUUCCAAAUCCCUCUGAUUCCCCUGUUUCAUCGAGCCCUGAGGAUGGUGUUGCGUGCUAUCUAG
RNAcentral lists this ribosomal RNA (600 nucleotides) under Triticum aestivum (bread wheat). RNAcentral's name for it is "partial small subunit ribosomal RNA". The record is from RNAcentral. Lineage: Eukaryota; Viridiplantae; Streptophyta; Magnoliopsida; Poales; Poaceae.